AUUGAACGCUGGCGGCAUGCCUUACACAUGCAAGUCGAACGGUAACGGGCCUUCGGGUGCCGACGAGUGGCGAACGGGUGAGUAAUGCAUCGGAACGUACCUUUCAGUGGGGGAUAACGUAGCGAAAGUUACGCUAAUACCGCAUAUUCUGUGAGCAGGAAAGCAGGGGAUCGCAAGACCUUGCGCUGAUUGAGCGGCCGAUGUCAGAUUAGCUAGUUGGUGAGGUAAAGGCUCACCAAGGCGACGAUCUGUAGCGGGUCUGAGAGGAUGAUCCGCCACACUGGAACUGAGACACGGUCCAGACUCCUACGGGAGGCAGCAGUGGGGAAUUUUGGACAAUGGGGGCAACCCUGAUCCAGCCAUGCCGCGUGAGUGAAGAAGGCCUUCGGGUUGUAAAGCUCUUUCGGCCGGGAAGAAAUCGCAUGGGCUAAUACCCUGUGCGGAUGACGGUACCGGCAUAAGAAGCACCGGCUAACUACGUG
RNAcentral lists this ribosomal RNA (482 nucleotides) under uncultured bacterium. RNAcentral's name for it is "bacterial SSU rRNA". It matches the Rfam family "Bacterial small subunit ribosomal RNA", at positions 30 to 507 of the family's 1533-position model. The record is from RNAcentral.